CGGUGAGAGGUGUGAUAAAUGCUGAAGUUAUUUCCUAAGUGAAGUGAAGAAAACGAAAAUUAUAUCAGUGCUGAUGAAGUAUUUGGGGCAGCUGAUAACAAAAACUACUGACAGAGGAAGUUCUUCAGUUUUCCUGACUCAGGGAUUGUACCUAUCUACUACCAUAUUGUAAUACAAUAAUAUAAUGCUAUAUUAUGCUUUUAUGCAAAGCUUUUAAGCUUAACUGUAUAUCCUAUGCUUGUUCUUUUACUC
Molecule: long non-coding RNA, 252 nt
Organism: Nothoprocta perdicaria
Lineage: Eukaryota; Metazoa; Chordata; Aves; Tinamiformes; Tinamidae
Exons: 2
Source: RefSeq, a predicted model, not a curated record